GCCAGACACACCUGUAGUCUCAGCUACUUGGGAGGCUGAGACAGGAGGAUCGCUUCAAUCCAGGAGUUCUGGGAAAUGACAAAAUACAUAUUGUACAUAUUGCACUAUGCCAAUCGGGUGUCUGCACUAAGUUCGGCAUCAAUAUGCUGACUUCCUGGGAGCAGGGGGUCACCAGGUUGCCUAAGGAUGGGUCAACUGGCCCAGGUCGGAAACGAAGCAAGUCAGAACUCCCAUGCUGAUCAGUAGUGGGAUUGUGCCUAUGAAUAGCCACUGCACUCCAGCCUGGGCAACACAGCGAGAUCCUGUCUCUU
This is a non-coding RNA of Otolemur garnettii (small-eared galago), 311 nucleotides long. The record is from Rfam. NCBI's taxonomy places the organism in Eukaryota, Metazoa, Chordata, Mammalia, Primates, Galagidae.